AUGGUGCGUGAAAGGUGGGAUGCUAUUGUGUCUCAGGUGGGCCCCCAAAGGGGCCCGACUGAAUUCUGGUCGGUAGAUGCGGCUAGGCUGCGUGCGUUCCUCAGGGGUUGGGGAGCGAAUUUUGGUAGCGAAUCCAAAAAGGAGCGUGCCAAGCUUGUGGAUCAAAUCACAACGCUUGACGCGGAAGCGGAUGUUCGAGUCUUCUCCGAGCAGGAGUGGGCUCUGAGAUAUGCGCUGGAAGACCAAGUGCUCUCCAUUCUGAGAGCUGAAGAGGAGUAUUGGCGCCGUAGGGGCGGCAUCAAGUGGGUGACCAAAGGCGACGCAAAUACAGGUUACUUCCACGCGUUCGCCAACGGGAGAAAACGUAAAUGUGCUAUUCUUCGCCUUAAUCAUGGGGAUAGGGUAUUGGUCACCCAGGCGGAGAUCUGUGAGCAUAUUUAUGACUUCUUCAUUGGCCUAUUGGGGACGGCUGAGGAGAAGCGGCUUUGCCUUCGGGAGGACCUGUGGGGUCCUACCGAGCGGGUCUCACAGGAAGAAAAUGCAGGACUUGUACUGCCUUUCCUUCCGGAGGAGAUUGACCGUGCGCUGGCCUCUAUGAAAACGGGCACGGCCCCGGGCCCUGAUGGGUGGCCGGUAGAGUUUUUCAGAAAAUUCUGGCCCAGUCUGAAGCAUGUGUUUCACGCAAUCGUCAAUGGCUUUGCGUUGGGCCAAGUGGACCUGGCCCGUUUAAAUUUUGGGGUGAUUACUCUCAUCCCCAAAGUUAAGGGCGCGGACAGCAUCAAGUUAUUUAGACCUAUCACGCUU
RNAcentral lists this ribosomal RNA (804 nucleotides) under Triticum aestivum (bread wheat). RNAcentral describes it as "partial small subunit ribosomal RNA". Lineage: Eukaryota; Viridiplantae; Streptophyta; Magnoliopsida; Poales; Poaceae. The record is from RNAcentral.